Molecule: ribosomal RNA, 246 nt
Filed under: uncultured bacterium
Lineage: Bacteria
Description: partial 16S ribosomal RNA
Rfam family: Bacterial small subunit ribosomal RNA
Source: RNAcentral
GACGAACUGUCCUAACGUUGUUCGGAAUCACUGGGCUUAAAGGGCGCGUAGGCGGUCCAACAAGUCAGGGGUGAAAUCCUGCAGCUCAACUGCAGAAGUGCCUCUGAUACUGUCGGUCUUGAGGGAGAUAGGGGUGUGCGGAACUUCCAGUGGAGCGGUGAAAUGCGUUGAUAUUGGAAGGAACGCCGGAGGCGAAAGCGGCGCACUGGAUCUCUUCUGACGCUGAGGCGCGAAAGCUAGGGGGCG